GACGAACGCUGGCGGCGUGCUUAACACAUGCAAGUCGAACGGAAAGGCCCUGCUUUUGUGGGUUGCUCGAGUGGCGAACGGGUGAGUAACACGUGAGUAACCUGCCCUUGACUUUGGGAUAACUUCAGGAAACUGGGGCUAAUACCGGAUAGGAGCUCCUGCUGCAUGGUGGGGGUUGGAAAGUUUCGGCGGUUGGGUAUGGACUCGCGGCUUAUCAGCUUGUUGGUGGGGUAGUGGCUUACCAAGGCUUUGACGGGUAGCCGGCCUGAGAGGGUGACCGGCCACAUUGGGACUGAGAUACGGCCCAGACUCCUACGGGAGGCAGCAGUGGGGAAUAUUGCACAAUGGGCGGAAGCCUGAUGCAGCAACGCCGCGUGCGGGAUGACGGCCUUCGGGUUGUAAACCGCUUUCGCCUGUGACGAAGCGUGAGUGACGGUAAUGGGUAAAGAAGCAACGGCUAACUACGUG
Molecule: ribosomal RNA, 468 nt
Filed under: uncultured bacterium
Lineage: Bacteria
Description: partial 16S ribosomal RNA
Rfam family: Bacterial small subunit ribosomal RNA
Source: RNAcentral